GAUGAACGCUGGCGGCGUGCCUAAUACAUGCAAGUCGAGCGAACGGACGAGAAGCUUUCUUCUCUGAUGUUAGCGGCGGACGGGUGAGUAACACGUGGAUAACCUACCUAUAAGACUGGGAUAACUUCGGGAAAAAGGAGCUAAUACCGGAUAAUAUUUUGAACCGCAUGGUUCAAAAGUGAAAGACGGUCUUGCUGUUUGUUAUAGAUGGAUCCGCGUUGCAUUAGCUAGUUGGUAAGGGAACGGCUUACCAAGGCAACGAUGCAUAGCCGACCUGAGAGGGUGAUCGGCCACACUGGAACUGAGACACGGUCCAGACUCCUACGGGAGGCAGCAGUAGGGAAUCUUCCGCAAUGGGCGAAAGCCUGACGGAGCAACACCGCGUGAGUGAUGAAGGUCUUCGGAUCGUAAAACUCUGUUAUUAGGGAAGAACAUAUGUGUAAGUACCUGUGCACAUCUUGACGGUACCUAAUCAGAAAGCCACGGCUAACUACGUG
RNAcentral lists this ribosomal RNA (497 nucleotides) under uncultured bacterium. RNAcentral's name for it is "partial 16S ribosomal RNA". It matches the Rfam family "Bacterial small subunit ribosomal RNA", at positions 28 to 507 of the family's 1533-position model. The record is from RNAcentral.